GCAAGCCAUCAGACAACAUCCCCAUCUUUUAGGCAUGGGGUGGUUUCAAGAAAGGAAUGUCGGAUUCAUUUUUGGAGGGGGAAUAAAAUCAGACAGUCCACUGUGGUUGGCUGUGGCCCUGGAUCUGCCAAGACUGAGGCUAAAGAAUCCAGCCAUUUGAAACCUCUCAGCUUCCCAUUGUACUCUGCUGCUCCGCACAUUAUGGGUCGCAGAAGGUCUGGAAGCUAAGGAUGCAAGGCAUGGAACGACCCAGGAUGCCAGCAUGUUUUUUGGGCUGUGGAGGGGAACGCAGAGGACCCGGAGGAAACCGCAUGAAAACACGAGGAGAACAUGCAAACUCCACAUGGAGUCGUGGUGGAGACUCAAACCCUGCUUCUAGUAGUAUAAGCACGGGUUUCAGGACUGGAGUUCCUGCCAUGUGUGAAGUUCUCCCAGUGUCCCCCAGGGAUUCCCCCCACAUUGUCUCUACGUAUGGACACAUGAAGACCACAGGGAUCAUCAGAUUGCUUGUCUCUAUGACGUUUUUGUAGAAAACACAUAACAAAACCACGCAUGGCUCUCUUCAGCUGGAGCUGUUAAAAAAUGUGCCACAGCUCAUUGCACAAAACAGAAACGAAUUUUAAUCAAAUGGAACAUGGUGUAUCAUGUUUAGCGUUUGCUCUGCAUUUUCUUUGAUGUACAAUGUUUUAGCCAGUUUCAAGCUCGGCUCCUACUCUGCCACAAUGUAUGACUGAAUGUCAUGUUCUUUAGGCAAAGGAGUUCCUCCUUUUAAGAUACUAUGCAUCUU
This is a long non-coding RNA of Brienomyrus brachyistius, 787 nucleotides long. RefSeq lists it as uncharacterized. The record is from RefSeq and is a predicted model, not a curated record. The transcript is spliced from 5 exons. NCBI's taxonomy places the organism in Eukaryota, Metazoa, Chordata, Actinopteri, Osteoglossiformes, Mormyridae.